Molecule: unclassified non-coding RNA, 289 nt
Filed under: Hevea brasiliensis (rubber tree)
Lineage: Eukaryota; Viridiplantae; Streptophyta; Magnoliopsida; Malpighiales; Euphorbiaceae
Source: RNAcentral
AGAACAUACAGAAAUAACUAGAUUCAAGCUUGACCAAUAAUAGUGCGAUCUUUUACAGGAAAUAUGCACACAAAAAAAAUUCACACAUAUAUCAUUUGACUAUUCAGAAUCAAGAACCAUAAACACAACAGAAACUUAAAGUAAUAAAUAUUAGGAUAAACCAAAGAAGCACUUAAAAUGUACAGUAAAUCUUGGUUCAACUUUGAAAGUGAACUUAAGGGAAUUGAUAAAAAUAAAAAAUAAAAACUGUUUGUAGAUGCUUGAGCUUUAGCCUUUAGUUAAGAUUAGG